RNAcentral lists this ribosomal RNA (469 nucleotides) under uncultured bacterium. RNAcentral's name for it is "partial 16S ribosomal RNA". It matches the Rfam family "Bacterial small subunit ribosomal RNA", at positions 28 to 508 of the family's 1533-position model. The record is from RNAcentral.
GACGAACGCUGGCGGCGUGCUUAACACAUGCAAGUCGAACGGAAAGGCCCUGCUUUUGUGGGGUGCUCGAGUGGCGAACGGGUGAGUAACACGUGAGUAACCUGCCCUUGACUUUGGGAUAACUUCAGGAAACUGGGGCUAAUACCGGAUAGGAGCUCCUGCUGCAUGGUGGGGGUUGGAAAGUUUCGGCGGUUGGGGAUGGACUCGCGGCUUAUCAGCUUGUUGGUGGGGUAGUGGCUUACCAAGGCUUUGACGGGUAGCCGGCCUGAGAGGGUGACCGGCCACAUUGGGACUGAGAGACGGCCCAGACUCCUACGGGAGGCAGCAGUGGGGAAUAUUGCACAAUGGGCGGAAGCCUGAUGCAGCAACGCCGCGUGCGGGAUGACGGCCUUCGGGUUGUAAACCGCUUUCGCCUGUGACGAAGCGUGAGUGACGGUAAUGGGGAAAGAAGCACCGGCUAACUACGUGC